This 396-nucleotide ribosomal RNA is filed under the name uncultured bacterium. RNAcentral's name for it is "partial 16S ribosomal RNA". It matches the Rfam family "Bacterial small subunit ribosomal RNA", at positions 523 to 918 of the family's 1533-position model. The record is from RNAcentral.
AUACGUAGGUGGCAAGCGUUAUCCGGAUUUACUGGGUGUAAAGGGCGUGUAGGCGGAGAUGCAAGUCAGGAGUGAAAUCUAGGGGCUCAACCCCUAAACUGCUUUUGAAACUGUAUCCCUUGAGUAUCGGAGAGGCAGGCGGAAUUCCUAGUGUAGCGGUGAAAUGCGUAGAUAUUAGGAGGAACACCAGUGGCGAAGGCGGCCUGCUGGACGACAACUGACGCUGAGGCGCGAAAGCGUGGGGAGCAAACAGGAUUAGAUACCCUGGUAGUCCACGCUGUAAACGAUGAAUACUAGGUGUGGGGGGACUGACCCCCUCCGUGCCGCAGUUAACACAAUAAGUAUUCCACCUGGGGAGUACGAUCGCAAGAUUGAAACUCAAAGGAAUUGACGGGG